Molecule: long non-coding RNA, 1187 nt
Filed under: Dromaius novaehollandiae (emu)
Lineage: Eukaryota; Metazoa; Chordata; Aves; Casuariiformes; Dromaiidae
Description: lncRNA (ENSDNVG00000005119.1)
Source: RNAcentral
CUUUGUUCCAAGCUGUUGGGGAAUGGUAGAGACAGCAAGACAUAGGUCAGCACUGUAUGGCAGUUUGAAGAAAGAACAGGGCAGAGCAAGAGAAUCCAAUUUUAGGAGCAUGCUUAUUGUGAUAUCCUCAGUGAUUUCUUUUACAAUACAUUCUGCUCAGGCCUGUGAACUUUGUUAAACUGUCCAGUAAAAGGAAAAUUUUAAAAUGAAAUGGCAACUGAAGAAGUUGAAUAUACCAGAAUUCAGCGAAGGUAAUACAGUGGUCUUAAAUAUUUUUCUAGUAUCUGUUAAAGAAUGAAAGUUCAUGGCAAGAGCAGUUGAAGCAGUUUAGCUUUAAAGCAAUUUCUUUCCCUAAGAGAGCCUAAAAUAUCAUUUUGCAAAUAUAUAUUAAACUUUUUCUCUGAUUACUUUCUGUUGAGAAUAUUGCAGUUUGGGUAGCCUUUAUACUUUUUGCUUCUAUGAAGCUUUAGACUAAACUGGAAGAGGAAUAUAUAAGUUGCUCUUUUGUUGUGUCUGAUAGACAAUAUAGCACAUAUUUAGUGGUGUAUAACUAAAAUGCAGUGAUCAGUUCUUUUUGGAACAUUGAAUAUCUCUUCUGUUUACCAAAAAAAAAAAAAAAAAAAUCUGAGAAGCAAUCUUACAGCAUUUAUUAGAAUCAUUCAACACAGUAUCUAUGCAGCCUGUAUCCAUACUUUUGGUACUAAGAUAAAUAUUUUAGUUUGAGAGCAUAUCUGAUAUAUUCUAACUCUUCAGCAUCAGUAGAAAAUAAUUGCAAAGAUGUCAUUCUUUCUGAAUGCAGAAAUGUUAUAUAUAAAAUGAAAGCAAGUUUAAAACAUACUCUUCUAGAAAGUAAAUUAUGAAAAUUAUUUCUGUUAUGCAGUGAAGGUACACUAGACCUUACAAGAUUUAAUCCACUAAAAUUUUUAAAAAGCACAGUGGUCAUUUACUGAUAUUCAGCUGCUGUUACUGAACUAGAAAUAUAUGUUGCAAUCUGCAAGAAAAUGAAGUGUGGGCCUGAUUCAAAAGCUCCGUUAUUGGCAAAACUCAUUCUCCUGAAAGGGGUUUUGUCCAACUAGCAAUGGCAGAAUCAGGCCUUCAGUGGGAACUAAUGGAAGGCAGUCAUUAAAAUCUUGUUCAGGUACAGAUUUCAGUAAACUGCUAAAAUCAUAAGAGACCUUUCUGCAGCA